Molecule: ribosomal RNA, 253 nt
Filed under: uncultured bacterium
Lineage: Bacteria
Description: partial 16S ribosomal RNA
Rfam family: Bacterial small subunit ribosomal RNA
Source: RNAcentral
UACGUAGGGAGCAAGCGUUGUCCGGAAUCAUUGGGCGUAAAGCGCGCGUAGGUGGCCUCAUAAGUCCGCUGUGAAAGUCAAAGGCUCAACCUUUGAAAGCCGGUGGAUACUGUGGGGCUAGAGUACGGAAGAGGCGAGUGGAAUUCCUGGUGUAGCGGUGGAAUGCGCAGAUAUCAGGAGGAACACCAAUAGCGAAGGCAGCUCUCUGGGACGUAACUGACGCUGAGACGCGAAAGCGUGGGGAGCAAACAGG